UUUUAAAGUACAUGUAAUCUAAGUGAUCAUAAACGUUAACACAAUUCCAAUAGUUGUUACAUCUUUUGCAUAUUUUAUUUCAGUUUUCGUGAAUGUAUAAUUAUGCAUCAUGAUGGAUUUCAACAUAGCAUACAACAUCGUUUGUCCAACGAAAAGGAGUCUGUACUAUGGGGAUGCCCUUAAUACAGCAUUAAAUCGAACAUAGCAUACAAGUAUUUGUCCGACGAAAAGGAGCCUGCACUAUGGAUACAUUGCCAGAAUUAGGUUGCAUUUUCCAAAGUGUGCAAUGUUUUGUUCAAUACAUUCGGACUUGCAGGAGGAAAAAAAGUAUCAAUACAAAUUGUUGUGGUGUUAUUGAGCUUUACUAAGCGCUUGUUGCAGCAAUGUGAUCAACGAUUUAGCUGCUGCUUAUUUCUAUUAUGCAUUUAUUUGGUUUUCUAAAAAAACAGUAUUAUGUCGAAGAAUAUGAACGCAUUCUCGUUAUGGUGUCAAAUUAACA
Long non-coding RNA from Dreissena polymorpha, 499 nucleotides. RefSeq lists it as uncharacterized. NCBI's taxonomy places the organism in Eukaryota, Metazoa, Mollusca, Bivalvia, Myida, Dreissenidae. The record is from RefSeq and is a predicted model, not a curated record. The transcript has 3 exons.